ACUUCCGGGUACAUCGGCAGACUUAUUUACCGUUACGCAUAUAGGUAACCCGAAGAACUCGAGAGAUGUAGAAGUUAAAUUUGCUUCGGUCCUCUUUAGAUUUGAAGGAAUGGAAAGCACGGGUCAAAAAAUGCAGAUGUGUAGACAGGGAGGUAUAUGACAAGUAUAGAAUAUACAGUUGUUCACUAUGGACCAUUAAUCAACUGUUUGCACUGCCUAUGAUCCUGAAAUAUCUAUACAUCAAAGAUAAAAAGGAAAAAGGUGAAGGAGAAUUUGUCCAUGAAGACCUUUAUUGCAACUACCAUCUUCCAGUUCCUUAAUUUGAGAAUGAUAUCAGAGAACACACAGUCUUUAAAAAAGAUAGAAUAAAGAUUUGAUCACCAUCCCCAUAUCUCACCAUCCUGUAUAGAUAUAGUUAAAAAUGCUGUAACAUAUAUAUUAUGUUGUAAACUAAUUGUUUAUUUGUUCACAUGUUAUUACAAAAUGUAUGUUUUGUAAUCUGUGUCUAUGAAAUAAAAGAAAUGUUCUUUUUUGU
Ruditapes philippinarum (Manila clam) is the source of this 535-nucleotide long non-coding RNA. RefSeq lists it as uncharacterized. The record is from RefSeq and is a predicted model, not a curated record. NCBI's taxonomy places the organism in Eukaryota, Metazoa, Mollusca, Bivalvia, Venerida, Veneridae. The transcript is spliced from 3 exons.